Molecule: ribosomal RNA, 497 nt
Filed under: uncultured bacterium
Lineage: Bacteria
Description: partial 16S ribosomal RNA
Rfam family: Bacterial small subunit ribosomal RNA
Source: RNAcentral
GACGAACGCUGGCGGCGUGCCUAAUACAUGCAAGUUGAGCGCUGAAGGUUGGUACUUGUACCGACUGGAUGAGCAGCGAACGGGUGAGUAACGCGUGGGGAAUCUGCCUUUGAGCGGGGGACAACAUUUGGAAACGAAUGCUAAUACCGCAUAAAAACUCUAAACACAAGUUUUAAGUUUGAAAGAUGCAAUUGCAUCACUCAAAGAUGAUCCCGCGUUGUAUUAGCUAGUUGGUGAGGUAAAGGCUCACCAAGGCGAUGAUACAUAGCCGACCUGAGAGGGUGAUCGGCCACAUUGGGACUGAGACACGGCCCAAACUCCUACGGGAGGCAGCAGUAGGGAAUCUUCGGCAAUGGACGAAAGUCUGACCGAGCAACGCCGCGUGAGUGAAGAAGGUUUUCGGAUCGUAAAACUCUGUUGGUAGAGAAGAACGUUGGUGAGAGUGGAAAGCUCAUCAAGUGACGGUAACUACCCAGAAAGGGACGGCUAACUACGUG